CUAUGGCUGCCCCCACCCCGCCCCCUCACCCCCCCACCAGCGACCAGCGCUACAAACCAACACCCACCGGUGCUGCCAAUGGCGGCGAGGAGUGGUGGAGAGCCGCGGCGGCCGGUGUUGGGGCGUUGCAACCACGGCGACAAGUGAUGGAGAUCCAUCAUUUUCUUUGCAUGGAAGCAGCCCCAUUUUUUGCUGCCAACGCCCUUGCUUUUUGCUGGAACCAGUACAUGGCGGUGCAAGUUGUCAACGGUGGCGAGCCGGAGACAGGGACGUCGGGGAUGCUCCAACCAUGAUAACAGCGCGCUGGAACCCUCUUAUGUUCGAGUUGCAACCAUGACGAGCAGAGGUAGUCGAGGCAAGUGCCAGGCACGAGCGGCAGGCAAGCGGCAGGCGAGCGCGGGUGACGGGCGCGGUGGCAAUGGUGGCAAGCAGGCACGGGAAGACGAGGACUAUCGCGGGCGGCCUGCGAGCGCAUGGAUCUGGCAUGUGCGCAUGCUGCCCUUUUUCUGUAUUUCCUGUGCGUGUUUUUUUCUGCGUGUUUGACUUUUAAAACAAAGCAAUCAGACGGUUGGGAAGGGAUGUAUCGGGCGGCUGGGGUUUGACUGGCCCAACAGUUCGGCCGGCACGCCGGCGCCUAUAAGCUCCCUUUUAGAUUUUGGAUCUCAAUCUAUUAGCCAAGGCCGCUGCAAGAUUUUCAGACAUUC
Molecule: long non-coding RNA, 704 nt
Organism: Triticum aestivum (bread wheat)
Lineage: Eukaryota; Viridiplantae; Streptophyta; Magnoliopsida; Poales; Poaceae
Exons: 2
Source: RefSeq, a predicted model, not a curated record